Esox lucius (northern pike) is the source of this 995-nucleotide long non-coding RNA. The record is from Ensembl. NCBI's taxonomy places the organism in Eukaryota, Metazoa, Chordata, Actinopteri, Esociformes, Esocidae.
CCGCUCACGCCGCGCCCCCGCUGGCACGCAACUUCCGACUUUCAGACAUGUACGGUUUGUUUACAAGACGCAGAUGGACCAUAUUGCCAUAUUGAGUCAUGGCGGCAACAACUCCCGGGAAGCACCUGAGGGACAUGGCAAGCAUCCGAAAAUGGUGGUGCAUUAGUCUAAUGGAACGGUUCCAGAUUGACGGCCAUGGACAGAGGUUUGCAUACUGGACUAAUGAGGCCAGAGCAUUGCUCCAAGGUUCACUGCAGCCGAUAUACAGGGUCCCAAAGGUCAGCAAGAGGGAACAUGAGGUGUCGCUACAUGGAGCAGGUUUUCUGAGUCCUAAAGAAAAUAAUUCUACACCAUGUACUCCAUGGACACCUGUCGUGAAUGUGGAAUGCUUUUCAAAAACUGCACACCUGGAUAUGUUAGAACAGGACAAAGGGGUGUACUUGAAGCAGUUUACUCAGAAGACCCACAUCCAGGUUACUGCGAUCACUUUAGCCGCCAAAUGCAAUAGUGAGAACGGACACGUAUACUAACUGUUGGCAGACAACCCUGAGCCAGCUGGGUGUUUUUCAAGCUGCAGGCCCCCGUGACAAUUUGUGGCUGGAAACUUGGGAUUGAAUUUUGAAUUCUCCAGUGUUAUUACAGACUGUUAAUUAAUUGGUUAUGGCAAAAAAGAGAUGUCAUAUGUUUAAACAACCUUUGGGUGAACUUUUUGUAUAAUUUUAAAAAUGUUAAAACUAACAUCUAUUGAGAGUCUACUUUAUGCUUUUUUGGUUUUAAUAACAUCCUGUUCAAUGUGGAAUAAAAUUCAAAUCCUCUGAAUAUUGAGUCCAUUUCUGAACACUGGGGAGAUCGUGUGUACAACUGGUGAUCCGGUUUAUUGAAUGCAUUGCACCAAUAUGAUUUCUACCCAGUGCUGUACAUUUAUCAUUUGUUAAUAUAAUAAGACAGACAGUCUGACAUUUCCAUACCCACAGGAUUAAAGGGCCUACAUCUAC